RNAcentral lists this ribosomal RNA (3071 nucleotides) under Parascardovia denticolens IPLA 20019. Its description in RNAcentral is "bacterial LSU rRNA". It matches the Rfam family "Bacterial large subunit ribosomal RNA". The record is from RNAcentral. Lineage: Bacteria; Bacillati; Actinomycetota; Actinomycetes; Bifidobacteriales; Bifidobacteriaceae.
UUUGCUUGCUAAGGCUCAUGGUGGAUGCCUGGGCACGCAUUGCCGAUGAAAGACGCGUGGGGCCGCGAUAGGCCUCGGGGAGCCGCCGACUGGGCUUUGAUCCGAGGGUGUCUGAAUGGGGGAACCCGCCAGCUUGUGGCUGGCACCGCCGUUGAGGCGGGGGGUACGCAGGGAAGUGAAACAUCUCAGUACCUGCAGGAAAGGAUAUUCCGUGAGUAGUGGCGAGCGAAAGCGGAGCAGACCAAACCGGUCGCGUGUGAUAGGCUCCAGCCGUUGCGCGUCCGGUGUUGUGGGACGCUGCUGCGCCCUCCUGGAGGGGGGUGGGGCAGUGAUAAAGUCGUGUGUGAGCCGAGAGCGGUUGAAUACGCUGCCGGAGAGGGUGAUGGCCCCGUAGGCGAAGGCGCACGGCCUGUCUUGUGGCGUUCCCAAGUAGCGCGGGACUCGUGGAAUCCCGCGUGAAUCCGCCCCGACCGUGGGGUAAGUCUAAAUAUGAGUGCGUGACCGAUAGUGGACGAGUACCGUGAGGGAAAGGUGAAAAGUAGCCCGGGAGGGUAGUGAAAUAGUUCCUGAAACCAUGUGCUGUCAAACCGUCAGAGCCUUUGAGGGGUGAUGGCGUGCCUAUCGAAAAAUGAGUCUGCGAGUCAGUGGCAUGUAGCGAGGUUAAGCCGUGUGGCGGAGCCGUAGCGAAAGCGAGUGUGAAGAGCGCGAUUUUCUAGUUGCAUGUUCUGGACCCGAAGCGGGAUGAUCUAGCCUUGAGCAGGUUGAAGCGCGGGUGAGACCGCGUGGAGGACCGCACCCACCUAGGUUGAAAACUGGGGGGAUGACUUGUGGCUAGGGGUGAAAGGCCAAUCAAAUUCCGUGAUAGCUGGUUCUCUCCGAAAUGCAUUUAGGUGCAGCGUCAACGGCCGCCUGGUGGGGGUAGAGCUACUGGAUGCCAAAGGGCCCGUCUGGGGUACCGAUGGCAACCAAACUCCGAAUACCAUGCAGGUUUCGCGUUGGCAGUGAGUCAGCGGGGGAUAAGCUCCGUUGUCGAAAGGGAAACAGCCCAGAUCGUCGUCUAAGGUCCCUAAGCGUGUGCUAAGUGGGAAAGGAUGUGGAGUCGCAUGGACAGCCAGGAGGUUGGCUCAGAAGCAGCUAUCCUUGAAAGAGUGCGUAACAGCUCACUGGUCUAGUGGUUCCGCGCCGACAAUGUAGCGGGGCUCAAGCACACCACCGAAGACGCGGCAACCGGUAUUCUUGCUGGUUGGGUAGGAGAGCGUUCCCCAGGGGGUGAAGCGGCGGUGGAAACCGUCGUGGACCGUGGGGAAGUGAGAAUGCAGACAUGAGUAACGAGACGCGGGGUACGAUCCCGCGCGCUGGAUGACCGAGGGUUCCGGGGCCACGUUCGACGUCCCCGGGUGAGUCGGGUCCUAAGGCGAGGCCGACAGGCGUAGUCGAAUGGAUGAACGGGUUGAUAUUCCCGUACCGGUUCGCAACCGUCCGAUCCGAGGCGUCAGGCCUCAUGGUCGGCUGGCGGCCGCCCGUCCCUUCGGGGGCGGCUGGUCCGCUUGCUUUUCCGUGAUGGCGGGCGUAGUAGGGUAGCAGAGGAGUGACGCAUGGGGGAUGCCGCGCGGCCUGGUGGUUAUGGUCGUGCAAGCAGGUAGGCCGCGGGAUAGGCAAAUCCGUCCCGCUUGAGGCUGAGAUGUGACGCCGCCGGCCCUUCCGGGGUCGGCGUGCGGCUAGUCCUCGUGCCGAGAAAAGCUUCGCUGCGAGGGUGCGGACCGCCCGUACCGCAAACCGACACUGGUGGUCAAGUAGAGUAUACUAAAGCGUUCGAGUGAAUCCUGGUCAAGGAACUCGGCAAAUUGCUCCCGUGCCUUCGGCAUAAGGGAGACCCCGGGGGGUGAAGCCACACGCUGGUGGAGCCUUCUGGGGUGGCACAGGCCAGGGGGUAGCGACUGUUUACCAAAAACACAGGUGCAUGCGAAGACGUAAGUCGCUGUAUAUGCACUGACGCCUGCCCGGUGCCGGAAGGUUAAGAGGAUCCGUCAACGCUUCGGCGCGAAGCGGUGAAUUCAAGCCCCGGUAAACGGCGGUGGUAACUAUAACCAUCCUAAGGUAGCGAAAUUCCUUGUCGGGUAAGUUCCGACCUGCACGAAUGGCGUAACGACUUCCCCACUGUCUCGACCAGGACCUCGGUGAAAUUGCAGUACGAGUAAAGAUGCUCGUUAAGCGCAGAAGGACGAAAAGACCCCGGGACCUUUACUAUACCUUGGUAUUGUCGUUCGCUGCUGGUUGUGUAGAAUAGGCGGGAGACCGUGAAGCAUGGACGCUAGUUCGUGCGGAGUCGCCAAGUGAAAUACCGUUCUGCUGGCAGUGGGCGUCUAACCUGGAACAGUCAUCCUGUUCAGGGACAGUGCCUGGCGGGUAGUUUAACUGGGGCGGUUGCCUCCUAAAGAGUAACGGAGGCGCUCAAAGGUUCCCUCAACCCGGUUGGCAAUCGGGUGGUGAGUGUAAUCGCACAAGGGAGCUUGACUGCGAGAGUGACGGCUCGAGCAGGGACGAAAGUCGGAGAUAGUGAUCCGGUGCCGGUGUACGGACGCGGCAUCGCUCAACGGAUAAAAGGUACCCCGGGGAUAACAGGCUGAUCAUUCCCAAGAGUCCAUAUCGACGGGAUGGUUUGGCACCUCGAUGUCGGCUCGUCGCAUCCUGGGGCUGGAGCAGGUCCCAAGGGUUCGGCCGUUCGCCGAUUAAAGCGGCACGCGAGCUGGGUUCAGAACGUCGUGAGACAGUUUGGUCUCUAUCCUCUGCGCUCGUUGGAAUCUUGAGGAGCCCUGCCCAUAGUACGAGAGGACCUGGGUGGACGAACCUCUGGUAUGCCAGUUGUCACGCCAGUGGCACGGCUGGUUAGCUACGUUCGGAGGGGAUAACCGCUGAAAGCAUCUAAGCGGGAAGCCCUCUCCCAGAUAAGGAUUCCUUCCCACCUCGAGUGGGUGAAGCCUCCCCGCCAGAACACGGGGUCGAUAGGCCGGACGUGGAAGCAUGGCGACAUGCGCAGCCGACCGGUACUAACAGGCGACGGCAAACACACG